GAUGAACGCUGGCGGCGUGCCUAAUACAUGCAAGUCGAGCGAACAGACGAGGAGCUUGCUCCUCUGACGUUAGCGGCGGACGGGUGAGUAACACGUGGAUAACCUACCUAUAAGACUGGGAUAACUUCGGGAAACCGGAGCUAAUACCGGAUAAUAUAUUGAACCGCAUGGUUCAAUAGUGAAAGACGGUUUUGCUGUCACUUAUAGAUGGAUCCGCGCCGCAUUAGCUAGUUGGUAAGGUAACGGCUUACCAAGGCAACGAUGCGUAGCCGACCUGAGAGGGUGAUCGGCCACGCUGGAACUGAGCAACGGUCCAGACUCGUACGGGAGGCAGCAGUAGGGAAUCGUCCGCAAUGGGCGAAAGCUUGACGGAGCAACGACGCGUGAGUGAUGAAGGUCUUCGGAUCGUAAAACUCUGUUAUUGGGGAAGAACAAAUGUGUAAGUAACUAUGCACGUCUUGACGGUACCUAAUCAGAAAGCCACGGCUAACUACGUG
This 497-nucleotide ribosomal RNA is filed under the name uncultured bacterium. RNAcentral describes it as "partial 16S ribosomal RNA". It matches the Rfam family "Bacterial small subunit ribosomal RNA", at positions 28 to 507 of the family's 1533-position model. The record is from RNAcentral.